GUUUCCGUAGUGUAGCGGUUAUCACGUCUGCUUCACACGCGGAAGGUCCUCGGUUCGAUCCCGGGCGGGAACA
RNAcentral lists this transfer RNA (73 nucleotides) under Schistocerca americana (American grasshopper). Its description in RNAcentral is "tRNA-Val". It matches the Rfam family "tRNA". Rfam says of the family: Transfer RNA (tRNA) molecules are approximately 80 nucleotides in length. Their secondary structure includes four short double-helical elements and three loops (D, anti-codon, and T loops). The record is from RNAcentral. Lineage: Eukaryota; Metazoa; Arthropoda; Insecta; Orthoptera; Acrididae.